AAAACAUAUGUAUGAAAUUGAUUCAUGGUUGGGUACAUUUUCAGUUUGGUUCUUCAUCAGAACCGAGCCAAAACAUUAAAAUAAGUUUGGUUCGGAACCCCAAGAGCUGUGUACUGUCCUACUUAAGAUUCUCAUACUGCACCAAAUGCUCUUGCCAUUGCUAAUUUACCAGACAUGUUUUUUCUGAAACAUACUUUUUUCUCUUUAUCUUUGAAUAAUGGCUGAGUAUUAGGUUUUCCUUCUGGUGAUUUUUUCGUAAAGAUUGUUAGAAUCAAGCUUCGUCAGUGCAGUGGAAUCUAUGCAUAGCGUGCUUUUAGUUUUAGCCUAGAUGCAUGGUCUGUGUCUGAAGCUGUGGUAGUUUUUUGUUUGAUCGAUGGAGCUGACUGCUGAGCAUGCUUGAACAUGUUAUUUUCUGGUCCUUCACCAGUCAACCAAAGACCCACUUAUUAAUAAUCAGUCAAAUGGAAUGAUCAACUCCUUUAUUGCACACUGCAAUUUUCAUUAGUUGUUUGUCAACAUACUGCUUGAUUGCAUUGCAAACUUUCGCAAGCUUAUCAACAUCCUUCUUGAUCAGCAUCUUAGGGUAAAUUAUGCAACCUAACACUAAUAUUACCUUUUAUGCAAGUGCUUUGAUUCCACAAGAAAAUGACUAAAUCAUUUGUUGUUUUGUCUACUGAUGCACUCAAGGAAGAUUCAAUUUAGGAAU
Molecule: unclassified non-coding RNA, 706 nt
Filed under: Hevea brasiliensis (rubber tree)
Lineage: Eukaryota; Viridiplantae; Streptophyta; Magnoliopsida; Malpighiales; Euphorbiaceae
Source: RNAcentral